RNAcentral lists this ribosomal RNA (497 nucleotides) under uncultured bacterium. RNAcentral describes it as "partial 16S ribosomal RNA". It matches the Rfam family "Bacterial small subunit ribosomal RNA", at positions 28 to 507 of the family's 1533-position model. The record is from RNAcentral.
GAUGAACGCUGGCGGCGUGCCUAAUACAUGCAAGUCGAGCGAACAGACGAGGCUCUUGCUCCUUCGACGUUAGCGGCGGACGGGUGAGUAACACGUAGGUAAUCUACCUAUAAGACUGGGAUCACCUCGGGAAACCGGAGCUAACACCGGAUAAUAUUUCGAACCGCAUGGUUCGAUAGUGAAAGAUGGCUUUGCUAUCACUUAUAGAUGGACCUGCGCCGUAUUAGCUAGUUGGUAAGGUAACGGCUUAUCAAGGCAACGAGUCGUAGCCGACCUGAGAGGGUGAUCGGCGACACUGGAACUGGGACACGGUCCAGGCUCCUACGGGAGGCAGCAGUAGGGAAUCUUCCGCAAUGGGCGAAAGCCUGACGGAGCAACGCCGCGUGAGUGAUGAAGGUCUUCGGAUCGUAAAACUCUGUUAUUAGGGAAGAACAAACGUGUAAGUAACUGUGCACGUCUUGACGGUACCUAAUCAGAAAGCCACGGCUAACUACGUG